RNAcentral lists this ribosomal RNA (439 nucleotides) under uncultured bacterium. RNAcentral's name for it is "partial 16S ribosomal RNA". It matches the Rfam family "Bacterial small subunit ribosomal RNA", at positions 339 to 795 of the family's 1533-position model. The record is from RNAcentral.
CUACGGGUGGCAGCAGUGGGGAAUCUUAGACAAUGGGCGCAAGCCUGAUCUAGCCAUGCCGCGUGAGUGGUGAAGGCCUUAGGGUCGUAAAGCUCUUUCGCUGGGGAAGAUAAUGACGGUACCCAGUAAAGAAACCCCGGCUAACUCCGUGCCAGCAGCCGCGGUAAUACGGAGGGGGUUAGCGUUGUUCGGAAUUACUGGGCGUAAAGCGCGCGUAGGCGGACUGUUAAGUCGGGGGUGAAAUCCCGGGGCUCAACCCCGGAACGGCCUUCGAUACUGGCAGUCUGGAGUUCGAGAGAGGUGAGUGGAAUUCCGAGUGUAGAGGUGAAAUUCGUAGAUAUUCGGAGGAACACCAGUGGCGAAGGCGGCUCACUGGCUCGAUACUGACGCUGAGGUGCGAAAGUGUGGGGAGCAAACAGGAUUAGAUACCCGAGUAGUC